GGAAAAACAAGCUUUCCAUUGAAAGGCUUCAAGUAUAUUUCAGGGCACUUCAUACUGCUAUUGGAGAAUGUGUGGGAGGAGUGGAAGUUGAGAAAAGUUUGAAAACCCCUAUUUAUACAAAGUUGUUUUCCCUGGUACUUUAUCAGCAUCCAGUUCCCUUUUAUACUUUAAUUAGGCAUCUGUCUGGGAGAGGAGUGGGUAUGCCAUUUCUGCAUGCUCCUGCUACUCGUUGUCUAACUAAAUCUGGUCCUCUUACUGACAGACUGAGGAUGGCACAUGCCAAGGUACAAUCAGGUUUUGUUUCACUGGAACGAAAGAUCAGCCUGACUCAGCGCUUUUGUUUCUAAUGAUGUGUUUGCUCUCUCCACCUCCUCCAGGGCAUCUGGUUUAUGCUCUGAGCCAUGUGGUGGCUCAGACUUCUUUACUGUGCUACUUAAUUUAGCAUUUAACAUGUUUUUGUGCACCUAUGUUGAACACUAACUCGUUAGGCAGGCAGGCUAGAUCAUGCUUGUGGCUGUGGCUGCUGGCACUCUUCACUUCCUUGUAGAAUGUCAUUCAAAUGCUACAGUAAAUGUAGAAAAGAGGUCUGAACUUCGAUUCCUGAUAAAUUUCUUAACUCUCACAUCUUAUGCCUUUUGAGAUUCCAGUUUUGACACAAGUCAUCGUUUUUUACAAGCUACAGAUGCUCAUACCAGAUAAUUGACGUUACAGUGCAACUGCUUUCAUGGUUCUGCCCUGAUCCUCUCCGCUCAGAUCCUGGUGGUGUAGCUCUGCACAUCGAAGGUAGUUCCUGACUCUCUGCACUGGCAGGAGGAAAUCCCCUGGGAGCACUUCUGUGUGUGAUGUUCCGGAGACUGCUUGCUUGUCUGGGACCAACCUUAGGUUUUUUGCAGUAUCCUUUCUCAUUCCUAAAUCUUAUCGAAUGCCGGGGUGAUGCUCAGUACCUACUCUGUAUUGUAAUGGAAGAGUCAAAGGCAACUUCUGUUUUUUUUUUGAGAAACGCAUCCUUUUGAGAGAGAAGGAUUCAAGUUAAUUUGUGUGGUUACUGUAUAGUGCAGCUUGCCUCUACCUUGUCCAACUUCAUUUUCUUGCAUCUUUGGCUGCCUUGAAAAUAAACAGUUUGAAUGUAAACUAGAAUGAUCCUUUUCAAUUAUACUUGUAUAUAAUAUCAAUUUGUCUCCCGUUCUAAAACAACCAUUGCAUCACAAUAUGCAACUGUCUGCAGAAUAAUUGUGACAUAGAGAAAGGCAAAAACAAAAGCCUUGAAGUACACAAUAAGUGUAAUCAACCCAUGGUGUGGAUUUUCUUUCUCUUUUUCUAGAGUUAUUUUCUCUUUCCUCUUUUACUUUCUCAGUAUGGUUUGAAGAAGAUGCUAAGAUGGGAAGGAUUUAAUUUUGACAGAGCUUAAUAGUUUUUUUCUGAGCAGCUGCCAAGGAAGCUGUAAAUAGUGUGGCCAGCACUUGUUGUAUACAUUACACAAAUGCAGUACCAACCAUUUCUGUUACUGUAUGAACUCGUGGGUUUUGGAACUGUCUCCUUUGCUGACAUUCUUGACUUGCUUUUACAGACUAUUGAUCUUUUAUUUAUUUUAUUUAUUUUUGUAAUGUCUUAAGGGCUUGGAAUAUUCCUUUGUUAGAGUUCUCCCAUACAUCUUCUAAGUAAUCUAUCUCUGACACAGGUUGGUCCAGAUUUGUUUAUGGAAGCGAUCAAAAAACCACAUUUCUUAAGAGCUGUUUUAGUCUAUAGCUUACACACGGCAUGUAGCAGUAGGCAUUUCACCUAACUACAUGCAGUAGUGAUGUAGGUGAAGCUUUUUCUUCUGUGUAUCUUCCACAUCCCUCUGGAUAUUUUUUCUUGGGACCUCGUUGUUCAUUUGCAAUAGCGAAUAGUUCCACUGCAAUAGCACCCGGAGGUGCUUCAAUAAAGCCAACAGCAAGAACUUAUUAAAAGGCAUCCAUAAAUCUGUAGGUCUCCAGAGUAAAUUUAGUGGCUUGAAUAAAUUCAAACUGAAAUUAAAGUCACAGUAUUGCCAUUAAGUUUAUUAAGAAAAUAUGUUGUGGAGGUGAGCAAAAAAUGAAUAUAUGAAAUGUAGCCAAGGUCUGAGAAACUGCUGUUAUUAAAACAUAAAUGCUAUGCAUCCUGCUCCCCCCUCAAAAAAAGUGGUGGAGGCUUGAUUUUUACCAGAAGAUAUGUGAGAGGACUGACUAUAAAAGUGAGAAAGAAACUAAUGCAGGCUGCAUCACGUGGCAUGUGUAUUUGUGAGCAUGUAAGGGUAUAAUGGAGGCGGCUGGCUGCUGACAGCGCCCUGCUUCAACUGAAGUCUGGUGUGUGGUGCUGGGCCGAAAAGGGCUGCUACUUUUCCUUACCGAACUGUGAGUGUUUUGAGGGAGCAGAUCCUCAGCUGCUCAUUUCUCUGGAAUUGGGCUAAUUGAAAGCAUGCAAGGGUCCAGCUGGUAUUUCUGCCUGUGAUAAAAGGCGUGAAGAACACUGAACAAGAUGACAGUCUUAGAGGUGCUGCAGGCAGGCU
This 2527-nucleotide long non-coding RNA is filed under the name Gallus gallus (chicken). Lineage: Eukaryota; Metazoa; Chordata; Aves; Galliformes; Phasianidae. The record is from RNAcentral.